Molecule: small nucleolar RNA, 106 nt
Filed under: Theobroma cacao (cacao)
Lineage: Eukaryota; Viridiplantae; Streptophyta; Magnoliopsida; Malvales; Malvaceae
Description: Plant small nucleolar RNA R71
Rfam family: Plant small nucleolar RNA R71
About the family: R71 is a member of the C/D box family of snoRNAs containing the C (UGAUGA) and D (CUGA) box motifs. Multiple nearly identical copies of this snoRNA have been identified in Arabidopsis, and it is thought to function as a 2'-O-ribose methylation guide for 18S ribosomal RNA.
Source: Rfam by way of RNAcentral
AACCCAUGGUGAGGACAUCUCCUUAGCAAAUCCUUAUACCUAUCCUAAGCCUCAUAUAGUGUUUCAGAAUCAAGUUGCACAAAAGAGGUGAUAUCAUUACGUGCCU